Small nuclear RNA from Callithrix jacchus (white-tufted-ear marmoset), 141 nucleotides. Its record names the gene U4. It matches the Rfam family "U4 spliceosomal RNA". From Rfam's summary of the family: U4 small nuclear RNA (U4 snRNA) is a component of the major U2-dependent spliceosome. Lineage: Eukaryota; Metazoa; Chordata; Mammalia; Primates; Cebidae. The record is from Ensembl.
AGCUUUGCGCAGUGGCAGUAUCGUAGCCAAUGAGCUUUAUCUGAGGCGCGAUUAUUGCUAAUUGAAGACUUUUCCCAAUACCCCGCCAUGACAACUUGCAAUACAGUCAGCACUGACAAUUUUUGACAGUCUCUACGGGGA